AAAAGAAACUAACAAGGAUUCCCCUAGUAACUGCGAGUGAAGCGGGAAAAGCUCAAAUUUAAAAUCUGGCGGUCUUCGGCCGUCCGAGUUGUAGUCUGGAGAAGUGCUUUCCGCGCUGGACCGUGUAUAAGUCUCUUGGAACAGAGCGUCAUAGAGGGUGAGAAUCCCGUCUUUGACACGGACUACCAGUGCUUUGUGAUGCGCUCUCAAAGAGUCGAGUUGUUUGGGAAUGCAGCUCAAAAUGGGUGGUGAAUUCCAUCUAAAGCUAAAUAUUGGCGAGAGACCGAUAGCGAACAAGUACCGUGAGGGAAAGAUGAAAAGCACUUUGGAAAGAGAGUUAAACAGUACGUGAAAUUGCUGAAAGGGAAACGCUUGAAGUCAGUCGCGUCGUCCGGAACUCAGCCUUGCUUCCGCUUGGUGCACUUUCCGGAUGACGGGUCAGCAUCGAUUUUGACCGUCGGAAAAGGGCUGGAGUAAUGUGGCACCUCCGGGUGUGUUAUAGACUCUGGUCGCAUACGGCGGUUGGGAUCGAGGAACGCAGCGCGCCGCAAGGCAGGGGUUCGCCCACUUUCGCGCUUAGGAUGCUGGCAUAAUGGCUUUAAACGACCCGUCUUGAAACACGGACCAAGGAGUCUAACAUACCUGCGAGUGUUUGGGUGGAAAACCCGAGCGCGUAAUUAAAGUGAAAGUUGAGACCUCUGUCGUGGAGGGCAUCGACGCCCGGACCUGACGUUCUCUGAAGGAUCCGCGGUAGAGCAUGUAUGUUGGGACCCGAAAGAUGGUGAACUAUGCCUGAAUAGGGUGAAGCCAGAGGAAACUCUGGUGGAGGCUCGUAGCGAUUCUGACGUGCAAAUCGAUCGUCAAAUUUGGGUAUAGGGGCGAAAGACUAAUCGAACCAUCUAGUAGCU
RNAcentral lists this ribosomal RNA (908 nucleotides) under Ganoderma oregonense. RNAcentral describes it as "partial large subunit ribosomal RNA". It matches the Rfam family "Eukaryotic large subunit ribosomal RNA", at positions 57 to 952 of the family's 3401-position model. Lineage: Eukaryota; Fungi; Basidiomycota; Agaricomycetes; Polyporales; Polyporaceae. The record is from RNAcentral.